UUGUUGAGAAGUAUAUUUUUUUUGAUACAGUGACAAGAGGCUCUGUAUCAUCGUCAAGGGACGAUACCAUCAUUGCGUACAAGAAUCAGCAGAGCAGACAACCAACAUCAGCAAAUGACAUGACAAAUACUGUACAACAAAGUAACGCUACGGAAAGCCCCACAGACCAGUCCAAUUGGCCGUCGCACGCAUGCCGACGUCGUACAGAAGCGGAUAUAGAAAGUGGUGGUCAAAAGAAGAAGGGGCGAGGUGUCCUCAAAGGAAUCAAGGUCGCCAAGAAGCGAUUCGCCAAUGGUUCCUCAAAGCUUCACAUUGAAUUUUCCAAAACAUUGGGAGGUUCUAUCGGAGAGAACUAUCGUAUGUUUGUGGAUGACGUGGUGGUUUACAUGAAAAGGAAGGCACCACUCAUUGGUGUGAACAAGUGGUCUGCCAUUGAUUCUUCU
Triticum dicoccoides is the source of this 443-nucleotide long non-coding RNA. RefSeq lists it as uncharacterized. Lineage: Eukaryota; Viridiplantae; Streptophyta; Magnoliopsida; Poales; Poaceae. The record is from RefSeq and is a predicted model, not a curated record. The transcript is spliced from 3 exons.